RNAcentral lists this ribosomal RNA (253 nucleotides) under uncultured bacterium. RNAcentral describes it as "partial 16S ribosomal RNA". It matches the Rfam family "Bacterial small subunit ribosomal RNA", at positions 524 to 776 of the family's 1533-position model. The record is from RNAcentral.
UACGUAGGGGGCAAGCGUUGUCCGGAUUCAUUGGGCGUAAAGCGCGUGUAGGCGGCCAAGUAGGUCUGAUGUGAAAACUCGAGGCUCAACCUCGAGACGUCGUCAGAAACCACUCGGCUAGAGUCCGGAAGAGGAGAGUGGAAUUCCUGGUGUAGCGGUGAAAUGCGCAGAUAUCAGGAAGAACACCAAUGGCGAAGGCAGCUCUCUGGGACGGUACUGACGCUGAGACGCGAAAGCGUGGGGAGCGAACAGG